This 601-nucleotide ribosomal RNA is filed under the name Lepeophtheirus salmonis (salmon louse). RNAcentral's name for it is "bacterial SSU rRNA". It matches the Rfam family "Eukaryotic small subunit ribosomal RNA", at positions 335 to 987 of the family's 1831-position model. The record is from RNAcentral. Lineage: Eukaryota; Metazoa; Arthropoda; Copepoda; Siphonostomatoida; Caligidae.
ACUGCCUUACAGUGGUUUUGAGGGGUAACAGGGAAUCAGGGGUCGAUUCCGGAGAGGGAGCCUGAGAAACGGCUACCACUUCUAAGACGGAGUUAGUAAAAGAAAAUAAUGAAGCCGGACUCAUCCGAGGCCCAGUUUUCGGAAUGAAAACACUUUAAAUCCUUUAAAGAUAACCCAUUGGAAGGCAAGUCUGUUGCCAUCAGUUCCAAUAGCAUAUAUUAAAGCUAUUACGGUUAAGAAAGCUCGUACUUGGAUUUCCGCGAGUAAAGAAGGGUUCAUCUUACUUGAUGUAUCUCUUGUCUUGUCUUGGGUUUAUUUUCGACAAAGGUCUUGAUGGUGCCUUUCAAUAGGUGUCUCGGGAUACUGUCGGGUUUACUUUGACAAAAUUAGAGGCAUUUAAAAGCUUGGAUAUUAGUGCAUUGAAUAAUACAUUAGGAAGGCGUUUCUAUUUUGUUGGAUUUAGGAAAUCGACUUACUGAUUGAUAGGGAGAGGGUGGGGGAUAUUAGCAUUUAGAAGCCAGAGGUGGCAUUCUUGGACUGUCAGAAGACUAACUACUGAGAAAGCAUUUGUGAAGAAUCUUUUUCAGUAGUCAAGAACGAA